UACGUAGGGUGCGAGCGUUAAUCGGAAUUACUGGGCGUAAAGCGUGCGCAGGCGGUCCGCAAAGUCUGAUGUGAAAUCCCCAGGCUCAACCUGGGAACUGCGUCUGAUACUGGUUGGCUUGAAUCCGGGAGAGGGAUGCAGAAUUCCAGGUGUAGCGGUGAAAUGCGUAGAUAUCUGGAGGAAUACCGGUGGCGAAGGCGGCAUCCUGGACCGGCAUUGACGCUGAGGAGCGAAAGCUAGGGGAGCAAACGGG
Molecule: ribosomal RNA, 253 nt
Filed under: uncultured bacterium
Lineage: Bacteria
Description: partial 16S ribosomal RNA
Rfam family: Bacterial small subunit ribosomal RNA
Source: RNAcentral